CAUAAUUGCGGUGCUCUGUAGGAGAAGGAGGAUCGGGCCGCUUUCUUAUUGUAUUGAGGUAGAUUAAGUAAAGUGCUUGUACUGGGUCGGAGGUUAUAGGAAGUGGGAACAGCUGGGGAAAGCAUUGUGUUCAGGUAGGGUGGGAGUUUCCCAGAAAAGCUCUUAAACACAAGGCUGGAAAGAUGAAGGGUGCGUCUGGAUUCCAGCGACAGCCAGUUUAGUUCCUUU
This 228-nucleotide long non-coding RNA is filed under the name Pelobates cultripes (western spadefoot toad). The record is from RNAcentral. Lineage: Eukaryota; Metazoa; Chordata; Amphibia; Anura; Pelobatidae.